RNA transcript from Tigriopus californicus, 5128 nucleotides. It is a transcript of the gene named transport and Golgi organization protein 1-like, with no coding region annotated. The transcript is spliced from 13 exons. The record is from RefSeq and is a predicted model, not a curated record. NCBI's taxonomy places the organism in Eukaryota, Metazoa, Arthropoda, Copepoda, Harpacticoida, Harpacticidae.
GACUAGAUCGUCCCUUCGUCUUUUUUGUUGGUCUCACCCUGACAAGUAGUAAGACGGCCCAUCGUCCUGGAGUGUUUCUUCCGUGUGUGGCGGAUCAUGUUCUAGUGCCCGUGGGCCACGCCUCCCGCCCUGACCCUCACCAUGGCGACUCUUCGGUGUCUUUUGUGGACUGUUUUGACCUUGGUCUUGUGUCUGGAAUCGAACCAGGCUCUCUCGAAUCUGCGAAGAUGUGGGGAUGAACAAUGCCAGCAGGUCGUGUCCGAAGGCCGGACCAUCCUGCGUUACCAUGCUAAAUCGCCCGAAAUGCUCUCGUUCAAUAGCGAUUUGCCCGUUAAGAUAUUGUCCAAAGAAGCGGGUCAAGAUUUAGAUCUUUGGGGAGUUGAGAUCCAAGGCCGUCGUGGAUAUGUGAAUAAACGGCACAUCCAAGAGACCAAGGUUCUGAUUCGAGACUUGCCCUUUGAAGUGAAUACGGACGACCCCCAAGUUCCCCAUCCCGAAUCGAGUGAACCCUCGCCCUCCGUAGUUAACCAGUCCGAUCCUGUUUCCUCUGUCCCCACCCCUGUUUCAGCCGAAACUGUUCCCACCGAUCCAGUUCAGUCCAAUUACGAUGUAGUCGAUGGCACCACCAUUUACUUCGAUGAACCGGUCCAAUCGAUCAAUCAAGAGCCGAUCAAGUCGGCUCAAACCUCUGUUCCCGAUAUCAAGCCUACACAGACCAAAUCGAGAGCGUCAGAAACAUUGGAAACUCUUCAAGCGACACCCGAUGUGACCGGUUCGCUCAGUUCUCAAACUGUCGAGGCUCAGUCCACCGAGGCUAUUAGGUCCAUUGAUUUGAAGAGUGAUGGCCAGCCAACCACGCCUCCGAAGGUGGAUCUAUCUCAGACACCCGAAAGCCCGCCUUUGCAGGAUGACUCGCCAACCCCUCUCGCCACACCGGCUCUCGAUAUUUUGCAAGAACCAAUCAAACCCUCGGCCACACCCAAUCAAAUGCCGACUAACGAAUACAAUCAAGAUGACCACAACCCUACAUCCGCCGAAGAAACAAAUGAGGUUUCGAGUUUGUCAGAGCCGCAAGUUGAAAACGCCAACCAGGACUCGUUAGAUGAUGGUUUUGUCACCGAUGAGGAGAAGCAUGAAGAGGAGGAGGAGGAGGAUAUCGAUCCAGAAGAAGAAAAUGAGAUCGAUCUUGAGAAACGUAAACAGUUCAUUCAAAGUCAACUUCGGGAUGAAGAGAACCAUCCUGUUGACGAUAAUCAUGCUGUUGACAAGGCACGUCUCGAAAAGGAAGAAGCCAAGAGACUCGAGCUUGAGAAAAACCAAAUUGAGAAAAUAAAGAAACAAGUUAAUGAUGCCUCGCAAGCUAAUCUGGAAUCAACCACACCUCAAAGUUUAGACAAUGACAAAGAACCUGAAGUACUUGACGGUUUGAAGCCAGAUACCAACCUCGAUCAAGAAACUCUAAAAGUUCCACCAAAUUCCGACGACGGAAAUAUGGAAGACCUUGAGGAAUUUGAUUCUACUGCUUCUCGAGAACAAAAGGAGGCAACCCCUGAAGCCCCUGAUGAGCAACUUCCCUCAACGGUAGCUCAAGAUCAAGUCUCUGAGACAGACGAGCAACCUGAGACACUCCAGCCCCUUGAUAAUGAUCAACAUGAUACUCCUGAAAAGAAAUCGCCGGGUAUUUCUAAAACAUUACACAGUUUGAAUAACAAUCCAGACACCCAAGAAGCACCCAGUAAUAUCCCCGCUUCAAACGAAGAAAACCCUAGUAUUUCUGUUACAAAUGAAGAAAAUGAUGUCAUUUCUGACGCACAGGAAGAAGACUCUGAUAUUCCUGUUGCACAGGAAGACAAUCAAGAACCACAAGACGAUAAACCUGGAGCAUCCACAGGAGACUUAGAUCAUCUGAAGCCAAACGACCAUCCCGACAACAUUGGAUUACCAGAAAAUACAGCAACCGAGGCAGAAAAGCCAGAAGACCCUGAGGAGUCGUUGGAUGCUGCCGAUAUUCAACAAGAGCGAAGUGACAAAGAUGAACAUGACGAAUCUCUCGAAUAUGGCCAGGGUACUACGGAAGAACCUGUCCCACUAGAUCGUCAAGAAAACGUCCAAGAGGACGCUGAACCGUCCCAUGAGAGUGGAGGAGGAUUUUUUGGGUCCAUUUUUGGCUCAAGUGAGCCCUCUACGCCGUCACCCGAUGUCCUUGAAGAUGACAAAAAUACCAACAACAAGGAUGAACCCGAUCCAAUAAAUGACUAUUCGGAUGAGCAAAAGCUAGAGGUGCAAAACAAUCCCGACAGAGCAGAAGUGCCGUCAGUCCCCGAGAAUUACGAAGUUCCAAACUCAUUGAACUACGAAGAGAUCCGAUUUCAUGAUCCGAACGAAUAUUCAACAGAGAGUCCUCCAGAGGUGCUCAAUGAGGAAAAGAGCCACGAAUCCGCUCAGCCGGGCGAGGUUGAAGAAACAACGGGUACUCCGGAACCUGAUCCCAACCCGAACUUCUGGGGUUUUGAAUCUCAUGAUGAAAAAACCACCACCACCACUCCAGCUCCACUUGACGUGAAAGAAGAUGUUCCUGCAUUUGUUCAAGCGAUCGAUGACUCCUCUAAAGUUCGAGAAGAAGUUGAUCCUUCCCCACAAGAACCUGUUGAGAUGGAGGAAACCAAAGGCGACUUUGCUGAAACUGUGGAACAUUACAUUGAAGAAUCCAACUCGUUCCUCCCAGAGUUUUUAACAUCCGUUUUGAGUCGCCCGGGAUCAUCUUCCCGCCUCUCUACUAAUGCUUUGGUCAUCGCAUCGGUCCUGGUGGUUCUUUUUGUUAUAUUAUUUGUCACGGCUUUGGCAAUGGAGAAGUCUUCGAAAGAAGGUUCCCUCAAGACCAAACUUGCGAGUCUUGAGAAAGAGUUGAAUCAAGUGCGAAAUGAGAGUCUAAUCAUUAAACGCGAGGCUGAAACGUUCCUAAAGAACGGCGGCAUUUCUGAACUCGAGCCCGUUAAAAUCGUAACCAAUGAACCCCCAGCGGAGCUUCUGAAUGAAUUGGUUACAAUUAGGGAAGAAAUGGCUCGCUCAAAGGAAAGAGUCUUGGAACUCCAAUCGGAAAAGGAUAAUGCGGUGCAAGAAAAAGUUAAAACCGAAGAGGACCUGGCCAACCUCCGAUUGAUGUACGAUCGCGCUCAGCAAGAACUGACGGAAUCAGAGUCGAUCGUUCAAGAAUGUUUGGACGAGAAGAAAAGGAAUCAAGCCAAAGGAGGUCUUGAUAUCGACAUUACCACGGCUAUUGACACUCUGCGGCGGCAAUUGUCAUCUCAACAAGAAGCUGUCGGGAAAUACGAGGCCAAGAUCAAGAAACGUGAAUCCGAGUUGAAGGAAAAGACCCAAGAUUUGAGAAAGCAACGGGCUGACACGGCUAAUGCCAAGUUACAGCUGACCAAGAUGACCCAAGAACGUGAUGAGCUGGCCAAGCGAGUGUCGAACUCGGAAGAGUCCAGCGAGGAGAACGCCAAGCUGAAGUCGGAAUUAGAGGACUUGAAGCAAACCUUGUACCGAAUCAAGGAAGAAUGCGAAAAUAAAGAUUCCGAUUUGGAGACAAAGUCCACGGAGAUCGAGGUGCUUCAACUUACCGUGGAACAACUCAAGACUCUCACAGCCUCUACUUCAAACAAUAAUCAAAAGAGCUCCAAGUUGCAAGGCAAUGGGGAUGUAGACAAUGACAACGAAGGCGAUGGAUGGGACUGCGAAGAUCCUUUGGUGGACUCUGAUAUGAAUAUCUUGCCCGAUUUCAAUGCCAUCCAAGAUAUGGCCCAGCUUCAAGUGGAUUUGCGAAAGGCUCAGGCAGCUUGCGAGAAAUUGUCGGAGCAACUAGUCCAGGCUGAAACGGCCAAAGAAGAUUUCGAGACACAGCUUUUUGAGCAGAAACAGGAACUGGAAAACGCUCGAAAAUCAAAAGAGAACUCGUUGAAGGAGAAGACCGAACUGGGCAAGAAGCUCGAGGUGCUCACCAACUAUUUCAAUCAGCGAGAGGGUGAACUUCAGAAGCAAUUGGGCAUGACCGCCAACCGCUUAAACGACACCGAGUUCUCCAGUCAAUCGGCGUCCAAGCAGAUCAUGCUCCUUCAAAACGAGGUGGAUUCCUACCAAAGCCAGUUGAAGACCUUGCGGGCCGAGAUGGAGGAACAGGAACGGAGUUUGAAGGCUCAGAACGCCAACCUGGAGAAGAAGCAACACGAGAGCUGGGUGACAGUUCGCCAGGAAUCGCGUCGCUCGGCCGAGGCUCAAUCCGAACUCCAAACCCUGCGAACGCGUUUGACCACGGUCGAAAGCAAAAUGGUGGAGAAAGAGUUCGAGAUCACGCAACUCCAAGAGGAAAAUAUGAGCUUGAAGGAAACUAUCGAAAAGAUUUCUCGAUCCUCACAACCCAAACAUGAACCUGGUGCUAUCAAGGGAAAUAAGGUAGUCUCUUUCGCCUUGGAGAAUGGAAACGACAAUAACGUUUACACCAACGGCAACGGCUCCAGUGCCAGCUCCACCCACAAUGACCCUCAUGGCGGUGCAUCCGGUGGGCCUGCAUCACUUCCCGAUUUACCUCCCCUCCCCAUGCUACCAACUAUGAUGACAAUGGCCGCGGCGCCACAACCUCCCCCGUAUAUGCCUUACAUUCCCCCUGAUGUACGACCAGCCCCAUUGGGCCGACGAUCCCCUGGACCUCGCGGAUAUUCGCCCUCCCCUCCUCACAGUGACGACUAUUAUCCGUCACCCACUGGAAGCGCUAGUAGAUACCGCCGUGAUAGCUCGAGGUCACCCGAGCGUAGUCCCCGGAACCGAUACGAGCGCUAUUCUCGGGAUAGAAUAUCUCCCGACAGCUAAUUGAAGCUUGUGCGCUAGUGAGUACCUUCAUCCGAUGUAAUUGCUUGGUGUGGUGGAUUCGUUUUUUUUCCGAAAACAAUUCAUUUGUCUGAAUGAAAAUGUCAAACCGCAGUGGAAGGAGCGAUCGUUCCUUGCGUUACGACUAAGAAGAGGAAUCCAGGCGGGGGAGAUGCGAAUGUGAUAUACAUAGAAACCAUUAAUUUUGUUCAUUCUUUUUUAUAAAUCUUUUACAAUAAACCUAUGCUCCCCCAGCAGUUUUACAGAA